RNAcentral lists this ribosomal RNA (440 nucleotides) under uncultured bacterium. RNAcentral describes it as "partial 16S ribosomal RNA". It matches the Rfam family "Bacterial small subunit ribosomal RNA", at positions 339 to 795 of the family's 1533-position model. The record is from RNAcentral.
CUACGGGAGGCAGCAGCAGGGAAUAUUGCACAAUGGACGGAAGUCUGAUGCAGCGACGCCGCGUGGAUGAUGAAGGCCCUCGGGUUGUAAAAUCCUUUUCAGGGGGACGAGGAAGGACGGUACCCUUGGAAUAAGCGUCGGCUAACUACGUGCCAGCAGCCGCGGUAAGACGUAGGACGCAAGCGUUAUCCGGAUUUACUGGGCGUAAAGCGUCUGUAGGCGGAAUGGUAAGGUGGACGUGAAAGCUCCGGGCUCAACCCGGAGAGGUCGUUCAAUACUGCCAAACUAGAGGGCACCAGAGGAGCGUGGAAUUUCCGGUGUAGCGGUAAAAUGCGCAGAUAUCGGAAGGAACACCAAUGGCGAAGGCAGCGCUCUGGGAUGAACCUGACGCUAAGAGACGAAAGCUAGGGGAGCGAACAGGAUUAGAUACCCCGGUAGUC